RNAcentral lists this ribosomal RNA (468 nucleotides) under uncultured bacterium. RNAcentral describes it as "partial 16S ribosomal RNA". It matches the Rfam family "Bacterial small subunit ribosomal RNA", at positions 28 to 507 of the family's 1533-position model. The record is from RNAcentral.
GACGAACGCUGGCGGCGUGCUUAAUACAUGCAAGUCGAACGGAAAGGCCAUGCUUUUGCGGGUUGCUCGAGUGGCGAACGGGGGAGUAACACGUGAGUAAACUGCACUUAUCUUUGGGGGAACUUCAGGAAACUGGGGCUAAUAUCGGAUAGGAGCUCCUGCUGCAUGGUGGGGGUUGGAAAGUGUCGGCGGUUGGGGAUGGACUGGCGGCUUAUCAGCUUGUUGGUGGGGUAGUUGCGUACCAAGGCUUUGACGGGUAGCCGGCCUGAGAGGGUGACCGGCCACAUUGGGACUGAGAUACGGACCAGACUCCUACGGGAGGCAGCAGUGGGGAAUAUUGCACAAUGGGCGGAAGCCUGAUGCAGCAACGCCGCGUGCGUGAUGACGGCCUUCGGGUUGUAAACCGCUUUCGCCUGUGACGAAGCGUGAGUGACGGUAAUGGGUCAAGAAGCACCGGCUAACUACGUG